GCAGGAAAAAAGAACAGAAAAAUCUCCAGUACCCUUCAUUCGACUUGGAAUCGAUCCAUAAGAAAAAUUAAUGAUGUAUUUUUCAUCAUGAUUUUUCGUUGAGUAUAUCGAGUUUCUCAUAUUUUAAUUCAUUGAAUUCAGCAUUAUCAUCGGAAUGAUUCCCUUGAAUAGCUGCUGUUAUGCACUUUCAUUGAGAGCAGGCACAAUCACCCUGUUAUGUGUUUAUGUGGUAAAUGAUUGAAAUUUUUAAAAAUAAAUUUUCACUAGCUCUGAUGAUGAAUUAAAGUCUGAUCUACUUAACUCGAAUUAUUAUUAUGUAAAUUAAUUGCUCAUCUAAUCGACUUCUUUUUUUCAGUGGCUUGCACUUACCUACAUUAUACUUUUAUUACAAUUUUUCCAUGAACAUACUGUCCCAGUUUCUAUCCUGAUUGGUAUAAUUUUCAUCACUUGGACUGUCUGUGCUUGUGUAGGACUUUACGGAGUCGUCAAUAGGAAAAAUGGGUAUUAUUUAAUCCCGGAAAUCGCGGUAGAUUUGCUGGAUAUUUUUCUACGUAUAAUCAACUUAAUUUUUCACCUUUUCACAAAGAAGCUCGCAAUACCACGUUACACCGUGUUUGGAACAAAUUGGGCAGGUACUCCAGCAACCAACAGCACCGCUGAUGGUAGUAUUACUUCGAUUGUGUAUAAUUUAUUCGACGAAAAAUACCCACUUCCCGAUGUAUUCGCUGCUUUGG
This is a long non-coding RNA of Planococcus citri (citrus mealybug), 734 nucleotides long. RefSeq lists it as uncharacterized. The record is from RefSeq and is a predicted model, not a curated record. The transcript is spliced from 3 exons. NCBI's taxonomy places the organism in Eukaryota, Metazoa, Arthropoda, Insecta, Hemiptera, Pseudococcidae.